Molecule: long non-coding RNA, 11272 nt
Filed under: Nicotiana tabacum (common tobacco)
Lineage: Eukaryota; Viridiplantae; Streptophyta; Magnoliopsida; Solanales; Solanaceae
Description: long non-coding RNA (NTAB_LNC001406)
Source: RNAcentral
UUACAAGAGAGGGCCCCUUAAUGGGGCUGAAACUCAUCCAUUUUACAAACUUAAUCUCCAGCAUACCCUCUCUACAAAAGAAACCAUAGCAGCCCUCCCCCCAAGCUGUCCGUUCUUCACUCCUAAGGUACCCCCAAGUUGAAUCUUCUUCUCCUUUCAAAUUCAAGUUGGAGGAACACUCUUAGCCCUAAAGAAUCCACAAGAUAUAAGUGUUAUCUUCAAGGUAUGUUGCUGUAAUUCCAACCCCUUUUAAUUAUAUUUAACUAGGGGCAACCAUACUUGUUUUAGUUAAGAAUUCGCAGGCUAACGUGUUGAGGAUGGUAAGUUUGAUGUUGUGCCCAUUUUGUGGCUUAAUUUAGGGUCUGUUUUGGGUAUAAUUUGGUCAUGUAACAGCCUAGGUAUGGUAUUUUAUUUUCACCCUAAUUAAGAGCUAGUUUUAACAUUGUAAAUAUAAUAUUGGCUGAAAAUUACGGGACGGUGAUUGGAAGGGACGGUGAUUGGAAGUCGUGAGUUCAAAUUGUGUAACUUAUGACGGAUUGUUUUGGGACUCUUUUGUGGAAUGCUUUGUGGAAUUUUUUGUGAUGUAUUGUGAUGGAUAUAAGAUUGGAUAUUGAUGCAUAUAUAAUCGUUGGUAUGCUGGACAUAUUGGUCUUGUUGUUUGAUUUGAGAAAAAUAAAAAGAAUAAGGGGAACGUGUUGUCCAAAUUUUCGUAGACAAGUUAGUCAUUCAUUUGUUUUGAAUUCUAGCUUAAAAAUGAUCCCUUGUCAUUUUUUAUAGAUUGAAGUACUAACGGGUUGAACCGGCGCCGUGUGAUUAAGUAGACAACAAAGGUAUGUAGGUCAUUCGAUUCCGUAUUCUUUGGCAUGAAGUCACGCGUAAGAUACUCCUAUCGACAAAAUCAGCUCUAUUAAUUUUCCUCUCAAUGAAAGAGGGGACAUGGGCAAGUAAAUGGUUCAUGAGUAGUGUACUUGAUCCCGUAGUUGACACUCCCAGUUUUAUGUUUGAAAUCUAUUUUUAUGAUAAUCGAGCCACAAGAUAAAAGGCUAAUUCUUCAAAGUAUAGUCACAUAAGCAUUCUUGAUGUAAGGAUCACUUGUAGAGCUAUAGUGAGUUUUAUUGUUCCACAUAGGAGUUUUGAUCUUUUUUUCUAUGCUAUAUAAUAUGUGAUCACAAUCGUAAAUGUCAUUGGUAUCUCUUGUGCGCAUAAGAUUUUAAAGUACAAAGAUUACGUGAUCACUUAGUAAAGGUAAUAAAAGUCAAAUGUAUCAUUAAAAGAAGCUAUGUGUACAUGAUCAUAGUGACAUCAUCCCAGGGGCUACUAGCCUAGUUGGGUCAUGGAUGGUGACAUUAUGCCAGGGGCCAUUGUUUCCGAACUCGUGUUAAUAUAAUUGCACCCUCGCAGGGGCCAAAGAUCAUAGCUGGGGUCAUGAUUAUUGAUACACCAUCCCUGGGGAAAUGAGUCUAGCUCGGGUCAUAUUCAUGCCACAUUUAGUUGGCCGUUUACUUUGGAUUCUAUCGAGGCUAAUUCUAUACCGUUCAUGAGACAUAUGUACAUGCUUACAGAUAUGGUAUAGAUUGACUAAGGUACAGUUAAAGGUGGCAUCUUUUUAUAUGUACAUUAGUGCUUUUAUGAAUUCUUUCAUCUCCUAUAUGUUACUUUGUGCCUUACCUACUCAGUACAUUCUUCUGUACUGACUUCCCCAUUGGGGACGCUGCAUUUCAUGCUGCAGGCAGAGGUACUCCAGUUAGUAGACCUCCACUAGAAUAGAGUACAUGGCGUACUUGGCUAUCUUGGAUAAGCUCCAUAAUGUUUGGGGCCUUACCGAGUCAUGUAUAUAUGUUUUGGUAUUGUAUAAGGAUUAAGGGUAAGGCGGGACCCUGUCCUGACCUAAGUAUUUUUCAUAUAUAUAUAGUAGAGUCUUUGUAGACCUACGUUAAGGUAUGGCACAGUUACAACUUGACCCUUAAUAGGCAUAGCCUCGACGGUUAGUAUUAUAUGUACACGUUUUGGGCUUAUCUUAUGGGUCAUUAGAAUAAAGUAUUUCUGCUCUUACUUGGUAUUUAUAUGUUCAACUCAUGGUAUGCACAUGCUAAGCAUCGGUCAAGGACUGGUCCUCUCAGGACUAUAGAGGUUUCGAGUGCAUGUCCGUCCUUACGGGGUUUGAGGCGUGACAAAAGCCACGCCUUAAAAACGUAAAUACAAAUUCCUUUGGCAAAGCUUUUAAAGUUUUAGGUGUUGUCUGAUUAAUGUGGCCUUGGGCCAAAUUUGUUCUAUUCACAAACUAAAUUCACGUCCGACUGCUCACAAUAUUUUUUCCUUGAUUGACCAUCAUUUGAAUUGAUGACUGACUCGUAUUGUCUGAUUGAUUCUCACCUAAAUUUGGGAUUUUAUUAUGCUGGUAAAGGACUAUACAUCUAUAAAUUUAUUAAAGAUAUAACAUCAUAUGUUAUUGGUAGGAGCAAGCAACUAAUCAUGUAUGACUCAAAUAAUAGUCCGAAAGAAUGAAUAGGUAAAACAAGACGAUAAGAUCGUCAAAUGAUCCAAUAAAUAUUGAAUUAUUUGACAUGUGACGACUUAUUCCAAUUAUGAUUUGAUCAAUAAGUACCAGAAACAGAGUCGCCAGAUAUUUCACCAUGAGAUAUCGAGAUGAUAUUAACUAGAUUACUAACUAAAGUCAUUGAUCACGAUCUUGAUAUAUAGUCAAUGUAUAUGUCCAAAGUCAAAUUAUAGCAUUCCAUCACAAAAACUUGACCCGGUUGUGCACAAGUGGGAAAUGCACUAGCAGUGGAUAUCCAACCGUUGAUAUAUCAUGAGCGAUACACUACCAUUACUUUUAAGUUUUCUGUUGAGGUAUAUACUGCAAAGGUACUUAAAUUGGAUCAGUGAUCGAUUUCUAGGAUUCGUCAUAAAUCUAAUUAGUUAUUUUCAAUUACGUAUAUCUGUAACGACCCAACCGGUUAUUUUUAAGAAUUUGCAUUCAGUUCGGUGGUUUGAGGUCAGGAGUAGCUUCAUAUGGUGUAUUAUGACUUGUGUGUGUCGUCCAUUUUGGUUUUCGAGUGGUUCGGGAUUGAAUUGGAAGAAUGAUUCUCAACUAGGAAGUAUUAACUUGGCAGAGUUGACCAAGUUUGACUUUUGUGUAUUUGAUCUUGGAUCGAUAUUUUGAUGGCUCCGGAUGGUAAUUUUGGCUUGGCCAUAUGCCCAGAUUUGCAUUCGGAUAUUCCUAAAAGGUUUUGACUUUAUUUGGCAAAAGUUGGCAAUUUGUGUAUAAAAUUUGAGGUGAAUCCGAGUUGUUUAGACGUGUUCGGUGUAAGUUUGGAAUUUGAAAUUUUGAAAUAGUUCAUUAAGCUUGAAUUAAGGUGUGAUUCAUUAUUUUGAUAUUAUUAUAUGUGAUUUGAGACCUCGAGUAGGUCCGUGUUAUGUUUUGAUACUUGUUGGCAUGUACAGACGGGGUCCCGAGGGGCUCGUGUGAGUUUCACACGGGGUUCGGACUAUUUUGGGCCAUGUUGGAUAUUGCUGGUUUCUGUUGAUUUCUGAUGUUUCAGUUGUUCUCCGCAAUCGCGAAGAUGAAGCCGUGAUCGCAUAGUGUUCUGGGAGCUGGUCUUCUUUGGGCGAUAGAGGGAUCACGUUCGCGAUGGUUGAGGCUUUAAGCCUUCGUGUUCGCAUAUGGGACUACGCAUUCGCAUAGUAUUGAGCUAGGUUGGGCAUGUCAUGAUGGGUUCUUCUUCGCGUUCGCGCUGGAGUGUCCGCGUUCGCGAGGGUCUGUUCAAAUAUGAAUCACGAUCGCGAGCCUGGGGUCGUGGUCGCGUAAGGUUUCUUCGAGGCAGAUCAGUUUUGUGCUUCACGAUCGCGAAGCUAGUCCCAGGAUCGCGAAGGGUUUACCUGGACAGCGUUAUAAAGUAUUCUAUUUUCGAACUUUGAGUUAUUUUAUCACAUUUUGAGUUGGGGAGCUCAGAUUUGAGCGAUUUUGGAGAGGAAUUUUAUUAUACGAAUUGGGGUAAGUAUUUUCGACUUGGAUUUGAUUAUUUUACAUGAUUUCAUUUUUUAUUUUGUCAUUCAAGUGAUGAUUCUAAAAGAGAAAUUGGGGGUAGUUGUCAAAAUAAUUCUAAAGUGAAUAAUUGAGUUUUGAACAUCGAUUCGGAGUUGGAAUUGGAUGAAAUUAGUAUAGUUGGACUCGUAUUCGAAUGGGUUGUUAGAAUUUGUAAGUUUUGUUGGGUUCCUAGGUAUAGCCCUAGGUUGACUUUAAGUAUUUGAUUAAAUAUUUGACCUUUAUCAUUUGGGUUUGAUUCCUAAGGCGUUAUAUGAUGUUUUAAGUUGCUUUUGGCUAGUUUCGAGCCGUUCGGAGGUUGAUUCGCGCGUGAUGGCAUUUCUAGAGUAUUAUUUUAGCUUGCUUGAGAUAAGUAUAUUAUCUAAACUUUAUGGAGGCACUAGUUUCCUGAGUUUUUUGUGAUAGCUACGUGUUAUGGGUGGCGCACAUGUGUGGGGUUGAGCCCAUGUGCAUGCACCGUGGUAUUUUUCAUGCUCGAGGUAAAGUUUAGGCUAUGAUAUGACUUGGACUGACUGUUAAGCUUAAUGUUGCGAUGUUUCUUAUAUUUUUACCCCUGUUGUGAGCUAUUUGAGCUAUGUUUGUGGUUUUCUCCUGAUUGAACCUGAUAAAUUGAUACUUUCGUAAUGUAUUUGCCUGAUUAAGCUGUGAUAGCAUACUUUGCACAUGCAUACACCUUAGCAUGUCACUUACACCAGUCCAGAAGUAUGAAAUUUGAUAUUCAUUGAUCAUGCACAUGUAUUCUUAUAUAUCUGCUUUCUAUGUGAUAUGGAUUGGACUGGUAACAUGUGACCACGCCGGGCAGAUUGUGAAAUUUAUCAUGCCAGGACGUUUGUGAUAUUAAGAAUGUGAUCACGCCGGACGGAUUGAUAUUAUUGGCACGUGAGUGGUCCGUGCAACACGUGAGUUAUCCGUGCGGUUGAUAUAUUAUUAGCAAUAUAAGUUGUCCGUGCGGAUCUGAGAUAUUAUUAUUAACACGUGAGUUAUCCGUGCAGCACGUGAGUUGUCCGUGCGAUUGAUAUUAUUAGCACGUGAGUUGUCCGUGCAGCACGUGAGUUAUCUGUGUAGCAUUUGGAUAUGUAUUAAUUCCCCUAGGGUCACCCUCUCAUGUGCCUUCUUUGAUGGUGUACGCACGGAUUAUGAGAAACCGACGGGUUUCUCGUUGAUGUGAGCUCUGGGAGAGAUAAUUAUUGGUUUGGUUCGGUUACUGAGAUUCUGAUGUGGGUCUUAGAGUCGUAAUGUGAUUUCUAUUUGAAUCGGGUUACGCACUACAACAGAUUGAUAUCUGGUUAUUGCAUUUCAUCUUUACUUACAAUUUUCUUAUUGUUUACCUGAUUUAUUUGAUAGAUUGUUGACUGAGUAGAAUAUGUUAUGAAGAUUGUGAGCACCAAGGUAUUGUUAUCUGUGUUUUCAUGAUAUGAUCAUAUUUCUGUCUUGUACUUGUUGGAAUUUAUGAACUGGUACAGGUGAUUGGCGAGUAUCAUUUAUAAUUCUUGCUUCUAUGAACUGGUACAGGUGAUUAGUUAUGAUACUUACUGAGUAUAUGAGGUCGAUUGUACUCAUGCUGUACUUCUACACCUUGUGUGCAGAUCUUGGAGAUAAGAUUUUGUGGAUGACGGGAGCUGGAAAUGCAGAUGUACUUGCUUUUCGGAUAUAGCUACCACUUGUCCUUGGUAGUCUUAGAUUUGAAUCAUGUAUAUAUAUAUAUAUAUAUAUAUUUCAAACAUAUAUUAUAUUUAUUUUCAUACCAGCUUGUAAAUCUAAGUCUUAGUGGCUCAUGACUUGUACUACCAGUCUUUGGGAUAUUGUAUGAGAAUUUCAGUUAUUUUAUUUAUUGAAUUCAUAUUAUUUCAUUAGAGUUGUAUUGACGGUUAUUUGGCUUACCUAGCGGGUUGGGUUAGGUGCCAUCAUGACUAGUUAGAUUUUGGAUCGUGACAAGUUGGUAUAAGAGCUCUAUGUUUAUAGGUUCUACGAUUCAUGAACAAGUGUCUAGUAGAUUCUUGCGGAUCGGUAUGAUGACGUCCAUACCUAUAUUUGGGAGGCUACAAGGCAUGUAGGAAAACUUUUCCAUCCUUCUUUCCUUAUCGUGCGGCAUCGAUUCCGCUUGAAGUGUGUCUCUUUAAAUUCCUUCCAUCAACUCGUAGGUUAUGUGGAGCACUUGGUAUCAUUUGUGCAUCAACGACUUGUGAUGUCAUGGAUGAGGUGCGAGAUGCAUUUUUGGUGUUGUAGAGAUAGGCCAGUCUGGAGGACUUGAGGUCUGGUUCUGACCGUAGCUAGGCUCGGUGGUUUCGGUUGUGUGAGUAUGUGGUUUUAGACUUAUAUGUCUGGUAGUGUCCCUAUGAGUAGGAUUGAUGACUUAUUGAGUGGUUGGAUAGUUAUAUGAUGUGUAUUAUAUGACUGGGGAAUAUGCUUAGAUGAUUUAAAUGCGUCGAGAAGGGUUUGCUUGGGGCAUAAAGCACUAUGGAUGCUUGAUUUCUAUCUUGAUGUGUGGUACAAUCUCGAGUUAUAAGUGUGUUAGGGAUCUCUCACGUAGUUCAUUUGUGGAAUGAAGUAGAUUCUUAUGUCUUGAUGAUGAGUUUAGACUCGGAAGGAUUUAGUGAUUGCAUAGUGGUUGCGACCAGGAUGAGGUCAUAGAGAUGCCAGUUUGAGGCUGAGUGGGUGGGUUGUCACCUGCGGGGUAGUCUAUGGAUGUGUGAUUCUUAUGAUGUUUAUGCGGAGAGUUUCUUUCUAGUGGGUUACAUACAUUGCAAUUUGUUUGGAUUGCUUGAAGGAGUUUGCACGACUGUCACUUUGGUGAAUAUGCGCUUGGCGGGUUGGCGGGUUAUUUGAGGUAUCUUAUGAUUAGGGUUACAUGAGUUUAUGAUGGAAUUAGUUGACUUACAGUGCGGGAUUAUGGCAGUUAUGGAGUAAGGGUAUUGUGGGUUAUCGAAUGUUAUAUUCUAUGGCUUUGAGCUAAGCGGAGGAGCUUGGUAUCGAUGAUCAGAUAAAAUGGCCAUGUGCUAUGAUAGUUUUGGUCUAAGGUAUACUUGUGGAUUUGUUAUAACUUGAAGAGGUCGAUUUCGAGGAUGACUCGAGUAAGGAAAUUUUUGGAUGCAUGAUAUAUUACACUUUAUGGAUAUAUAGAAAUCUUGGGGUGAUUCGGCUUUGUUAUUCGUGGCGGAGGUAGUGUGCAAGGAGUAAUGAUUCACUCGAUUGCUUAGAGAUGUGGGCUACUUCUUGAGGUGUUUGUGUGUUAAUGAAGUACAAGUCGUUCGACUCGUAUCGACGGUGCUUUGGGGAUUUGAGCAGAGUGGAUGACUCUCGAGAAGAUUCUAAUGCAUUCAAGCUUCAUAUGUGGUAUUUGAAGAUUUUCCGAAAUUGUAGGUGGCUAAGAUCUAAGAUUUGCAUAGGAAAAUGUCGAGAUUUGCGGUAUAUCUAUAUCAUUAGUGGUUUUACAUUUCAGUAUCAGAGAGGUUAAGGAAACAGCUUCAUAUUCACAGAAGGUCUCUUCAUAGUGGGUAUCUCGGUUGCAAUACUUUUGGGUGCUUAAGAGGGAAUACAAUGGCUUAUGGGCUUUAGGGAGACGUGGUUUCAUGAUAGGAUCUCUCGUGGUGAGCUUUGGGUUAAUGAUCAUAGUGUAAUGGUAGGGAGGAACGUUAUCUUGAAGUCAAGUCGAGAGGGACUCGAAGAAAUGGGUUAGCUUGGUAGUAGUUUGGAUCAGCAUAGUGAUAGUAGUGAUCGGUUCUUUUUGGUUCUUUGGGUGUGGCGAGGCUUUAUAGGUGUGUUGUCGCAAUGCUCUUAGGCUUGGCGAUCUGCGUAACUUGGUUGAGUUACUGGGAUUCAGUUUUGAUGGCUUGAUUAUGUGCAAAUGGGUUUUGAAGAGUUCUCGAUGGUGUCGACUACGGCUUGGGAUGGAUGUCUUCUACAGGUAGGAGGAGUAUGUUGCGUGUGGUGAUUUUCUCUCGGAUGGGGGUCAAUUGGAAGGUUUCUGGUUGAUAGAAUGUACAUCUUACUUGUGUUCAGGGUUGAUAAAGGGGUUCUCGUGUUUUCAUAUGAUGGCAUGACAGAUGCGGUGCAACAUAUGGGGUUGAGGUUUACUUAUACACAGUUAUGGUUCCGUUUAAAAGAAAGGUCAUGGGCGGUUUCAGAUGUUUAGACGAAUGUUGGAACUAUUUGAUAUCACCUGAGAAGAGCAUCUACUUCAAAGAGGCGCAUUGUGUUUUGACUUGCGGAUUCUUGACUGGAAUUACGGUAAUCGCAUGGUUGAUCGACUGUCGAUGUUCAGAUUUUUCUAUGUGGCAUAAAAAGAUUAUGGAAGUAUUUCUUUUCAGAUGAUUGUGUGUAGGGAUGUAUCAGUCAUUUGAAUGGUGGAGUGGAAUUGGACAUGGAAAAUUCUGGUAUUCUAGGGAUUUGAAGACUAUGAGGGUUCUCGGAGGCAGAUUGUUCCUUGGUUGCAGACAAUUAAGGUAUGUUAAAAGUUUGAUGGCUGAUUUUAUAUGUUAUGGUUAGGUUACUAUAGAUUCUUGGAAGGUUACUUACCUAUCUCAAGUGGAUCAGAAUUUAUUUGGAAGCCACUAGUAGGCCUAAUGAGGAUGUUUAUUCUACACCGGAUCGGAUUUGUUGACUCAGCAUGGCUAUUGUUGAGGGGUGUGUCAUUCGGUUAGGGUUGAUCUUACUCGUGUCAGUUAUGCUUCAUGUGUUACUCUUCUAUGCUACGAUGGGUUGCAAGAUUGUUGACUAUUCGCGCAUGAUGCAAUUUUGUUUGGACUUUGUGGUGCAAUUCUAGCGAGGUGGUUCUUGGUUUCUUUAAUGGUUGAUUGUGUCUUGGUUAUAUUCUUCCUGUUUGUGGUAUAUUGUGCUAUAUGUUUCUCCAUGGUUAUGGUCAUGCACUUCGCGUAUUUUUUAUUGAUAUUCAUAUGGUUGUUAAUUUUGAGCAUCAUGGCUUGAGGUAUUCUAUGUGGACCGGUGUCCGGAUUGGGUCAUGCAUCGCAGCGGAGUUAUGUGGGGAUAUGAUCAUUUGUGCUUAUUUCGUGUGUUUCGUUUCUUCUUUGUGUGAUAGGUUCAUAGCAUUGCGCUUUGUGGUGAUAUCUGUAGAGCUUGCUAGAUGGUCCUCUUAUUUGGUUCUCUUUACAUCAUUGGGUGCAUUUGAUUUGUUGCCUGUUUCGUGCACGUAUUGCAUGGUAUGUGGCUUUAGGUAGUAUUGGUGUGUCAUGUUGGUUGAGCAUCUUGUAUUAGAUGAGAUGAGAUUUUGGACCUGGAAUUAGUACUAUCGAAUUUGGUUAAGGUAUGCUUGGAAGAAUAAUGUCAGAAGUCAGCUUAGAAUUUGGCUAUGGUUCUUAUCGGGCAAGAGAGCUUCACGACUUGUUGAUCUGAUGAGGUGUUAUGAGUAUCUGCAUGUUUAUUUCAUCAUUGGUAGUAUACGAAAGUUCAGAAGAAGGUUUUAGUUGAUAUGGGAUUUGUUACCCGUACCAGGUUUGUUAUUGAGCAACUAUUAUGGUCGGAAGUUAUUGCUAUGAGUAUUUGAGUUAUGUGGUAUAUCAUGUGAUUAUAUCUUGGAAUAUGGUUAUGAGUUGAUACAGCUUGUUCAGACUUAUACAAUCUAUGGAUGCAAGAAUCGGGUCUUAUAAUGAAUUCCGGGUGUUGGGAUUGGGUUCUAAGGUUUAUGGACUAAGGUUGAACAAAGGAUCUUCAGUUAGAUUGCAUUGUCGGGCUUAUAUGGAUUGAGGGUGACGUGGGAUCACCCAGGGGUAUAUGUAUGGCAGGUUAUGCAGUGAUUUGAUGACUGUGUUACGACUCUUUGCACGCUUGAGGACGAGCGUAUGUUUAAGUGGAAAAGAAUGUAACGACCUGACCGGUCAUAUAUUUUGCAUUCAGUUCAGUGGUUUGACGUCAUGAGUAGCUUCAUAUGGUUUUCUAUGACUUGUAUGUAUCGUGGGUUUUGAUUUUCGAGUGGUUUAGGAUUAAUUUGGAAGAAUGAUUCUCAACUAGGAAGCUUUAAGUUGGCAGAGUUGACCAAGUUUGACUUUUAUGUAUUUGAUCUCGGAUCGGAAUUUUGUUGGCUCUGUUAGGUCUGGAUGGUAAUUUUGGACUUGGACGUAUGCCCGGAUUUACAUUCGGGUGUUCCUAAAAGAUUUUGGCUCUAUUUGGCGAAAGUUGACAAUUUGAAGGUUUGGAAAGUUCAUAUGUUUGAUUGAGAGUUGACUUUGAUGAUACCGAGUUCGGAUUGUUGUUUUGGAAGUUGGAAUAUGUUCAUUAUGCCAUUUGGAACUUAUGUGCAAAAUUUGAGGUGAUUCCGAGUAGUUUAGACAUGUUCGGCGUAAGUUUAGAAUUUGAAAAUUUUAAAUAAUUUAUUAAGCUUGAAUUAAGGUGUGAUUCGUCAUUUUGAUAUUAUUAUGUGUGAUUUGAGGCCUCGUGUAUGUCCGUGUUAUGUUUUGGAACUUGUUGGCAUGUUCGGAUGGGGUCCCGAGGGACUCGGAUGAGUUUUCGGAUGGGUUUCAGGCCAUUUUGGGCCAUGUUAGAUAUUGCUGGUUUCUGCUGAUUUCUGAUAUUUCAGUUGUUCUUCGCGAUCACGCAGAUGAAGUCGUGAUCGCGUAGUGUUCUAGGAGCUGGUCUUCUUCAUGAUCGUGAUAGAGGGAUCGCAUUCGCAAUGAUUGAGGCUUUAAGCUCUCGCAUUCGCGUCUGGGACUACGUGUUCGCGUAGUGUUGGGCUACGCUGGGUCAUGAUGGGUUCUUCUUCGCGUUCGCGCGGGAGUGUCCGCAUUCGGGAGCAUCUGUGCAAAUGUGAAUUGCGAUCGCGAGCUUGGGGCCGCGUUCUCGUAGGGUUCCUUCGAGGCAGUCAGUUUUGUUCUUCGCGAUCGGGAAGUUGGUCCCGCGAUCGCAAAGGGUUUACCUGGGCAGUGUUAUAAAGUACUCUAUUUGCGGACUUCGAGUUAUUUUAUCACAUUUUGAAUUGGGGAGCUCAUAUUUGGGCGAUUUUGGAGAGGAUUUUCAUCAUACGAAUUGGGAUAAGUAUUAUUUACUCGGAUUUGAUUAUUUUACAUGAUUCCAUCUUUGAUUUUGGCAUUCAAGUGAUGAUUCGAAAAGAGAAAUGAGGGGUUUUGCCUAAACUUUUCUAAAGUGAAUAAUUGAGUUUUAAACAUCGAUUUGGAGUCGAAAUUGGAUCAAAUUAGUAUAGUUGGAUUCAUAUUCGAAUGGGUUAUCAGAAUUUGUGAGUUUUGUCAGAUUCCAUGGUGCGGGCCCAGGUUGACUUUG